CACUGUCACUCCUACGGGGAGGCAGCAGUGGGGAAUAUUGGACAAUGGGGGCAACCCUGAUCCAGCCAUGCCGCGUGUGUGAAGAAGGCCUUCGGGUUGUAAAGCACUUUCAGUGGUGAGGAAAGGUAACGGUUAAUACCCGUUAUCUGUGACGUUAGCCACAGAAGAAGCACCGGCUAACUCCGUGCCAGCAGCCGCGGUAAUACGGAGGGUGCGAGCGUUAAUCGGAAUUACUGGGCGUAAAGCGCACGCAGGCGGAUUGUUAAGCUAGAUGUGAAAGACCCCGGGCGUUAACCUGGGAAUUGCAUUUAGAACUGGCAGUCUAGAGUCUUGGAGAGGGGAGUGGAAUUCCAGGUGUAGCGGUGAAAUGCGUAGAGAUCUGGAGGAACAUCAGUGGCGAAGGCGGCUCCCUGGCCAAAGACUGACGCUCAUGUGCGAAAGCGUGGGUAGCGAACAGGAUUAGAUACCCUGGUAG
This 475-nucleotide ribosomal RNA is filed under the name uncultured bacterium. Its description in RNAcentral is "bacterial SSU rRNA". It matches the Rfam family "Bacterial small subunit ribosomal RNA", at positions 325 to 793 of the family's 1533-position model. The record is from RNAcentral.